UACGUAGGGUGCGAGCGUUAAUCGGAAUUACUGGGCGUAAAGCGUGCGCAGGCGGUUUCUUAAGCAAGAUGUGAAAUCCCCGGGCUUAACCUGGGAACUGCAUUUUGAACUGGGAGACUAGAGUGUGUCAGAGGGAGGUGGAAUUCCGCGUGUAGCAGUGAAAUGCGUAGAGAUGCGGAGGAACACCGAUGGCGAAGGCAGCCUCCUGGGAUAACACUGACGCUCAUGCACGAAAGCGUGGGGAG
RNAcentral lists this ribosomal RNA (245 nucleotides) under uncultured Burkholderiales bacterium. RNAcentral's name for it is "partial 16S ribosomal RNA". It matches the Rfam family "Bacterial small subunit ribosomal RNA", at positions 524 to 768 of the family's 1533-position model. The record is from RNAcentral. Lineage: Bacteria; Pseudomonadati; Pseudomonadota; Betaproteobacteria; Burkholderiales.